RNAcentral lists this ribosomal RNA (896 nucleotides) under Cryphonectria naterciae. RNAcentral describes it as "LSU rRNA". It matches the Rfam family "Eukaryotic large subunit ribosomal RNA", at positions 38 to 964 of the family's 3401-position model. Lineage: Eukaryota; Fungi; Ascomycota; Sordariomycetes; Diaporthales; Cryphonectriaceae. The record is from RNAcentral.
GCAUAUCAAUAAGCGGAGGAAAAGAAACCAACAGGGAUUGCCCUAGUAACGGCGAGUGAAGCGGCAACAGCUCAAAUUUGAAAUCUGGCUUCGGCCCGAGUUGUAAUUUGCAGAGGAUGUUUCUGGCGCGGUGCCUUCCGAGUUCCCUGGAACGGGACGCCACAGAGGGUGAGAGCCCCGUAUGGUUGGACACCAAGCCUGUGUGAAACUCCUUCGACGAGUCGAGUAGUUUGGGAAUGCUGCUCAAAAUGGGAGGUAAAUCUCUUCUAAAGCUAAAUACCGGCCAGAGACCGAUAGCGCACAAGUAGAGUGAUCGAAAGAUGAAAAGCACCUUGAAAAGGGGGUUAAACAGUACGUGAAAUUGUUGAAAGGGAAGCGCUUGUGACCAGACUUGUGCCGGGCGGCUCAUCCGGGGUUCUCCCCGGUGCACUCCGCCCGGCUCAGGCCAGCAUCGGUUUUCGUUGGGGGAUAAGAACGGCAGGAACGUGGCCCUCCUUCGGGUGGGUGUUAUAGCCUGCCGUACGAUACCCUGACGGGGACCGAGGUUCGCGCUCCGCAAGGAUGCUGGCGUAAUGGUCAUCAGCGACCCGUCUUGAAACACGGACCAAGGAGUCGUCCAUUAGAGCGAGCGUUUGGGUGUCAAACCCGCACGCGUAAUGAAAGUGAAAUUAGGUGAGAGCUUCGGCGCAUCAUCGACCGAUCCUGAUGUUCUCGGAUGGAUUUGAGUAAGAGUUUUAACGGACGGACCCGAAAGACAGUGAACUAUGCUUGUAUAGGGUGAAGCCAGAGGAAACUCUGGUGGAGGCUCGCAGCGGUUCUGACGUGCAAAUCGAUCGUCAAAUAUGAGCAUGGGGGCGAAAGACUAAUCGAACUGUCUAGUAGCUGGUUACCGCCGA